CUGCUGCUUAGCCCUCUUUUAAGGUACCCACCAGCAGCUUUAAACCAAUCCUGAAUGGGGCCCAUCCCAUAAUAGUCUCCCACACAGUGGUCAUUUGGAAACAAUUAACCCUUGAUUCAAGAUCCUCUUAAAGAAUCCUUUUCCAAGCCCUACUCUUUUCCAUUGCAGCCUGUUGUGUUGUUGCCUCUCCCCUUGGAUGGGAACAGCUUUAUCCUUCAGGAGCAACAUCCAUGUCCUCUGGCAAAUGCAGGCUCUGAACAAAACCCAGCCUUGUCAAGCAAACUGCUUCCUAACUGCAAGCAUGGCGACCAUUCCUGCAAACAAAGGGAGAAGAAAAUAUGGCAAACUGAGCUCAGGAGUCCCACAAGAGUGUUACUCUGAGAACAUUAGUGGUGCUGACCAGCUCGUAAAGCUCGCCGUCGUGUUGAGUGCUCCUAGCCUCUGA
RNAcentral lists this long non-coding RNA (445 nucleotides) under Anser brachyrhynchus (Pink-footed goose). RNAcentral's name for it is "lncRNA (ENSABRG00000010103.1)". Lineage: Eukaryota; Metazoa; Chordata; Aves; Anseriformes; Anatidae. The record is from RNAcentral.